UAUUGAGGUUACUGCUGAUAAUUAAUGGUUAUAUCAUUCUGGACCAUUGAAUGAAUUAUGCUUGGAGGAAAUUCUUAGAGAAUAAGGGAUAGAGAUUCGAUGUGGUGGUUAUUGGAGAUGAGAUAUGAUUGAGGCAUUGCAGAUUUGUGUUCUUUUUCUUGAGUUGAUAUGAUUUCUAAGUGUUAUAAGAAUAUUUGAGAUUUGACUUUUGAAAAUGUGAAUUUUGUUUAUUUCUUUUGAAUCCAUAAGAAGCAUAUUGUUUUUAUAUUGCUUAUGGAUAAAUGAUGUUGCUAUGAGGAUUUUUUUCCCUUCUUUUGAACACUUUGGAUAUAAUAAAAAAAAAAAUACAUUAAAUUAAAUUUUCACGUGUGGUUUUAUAAACUUUUGAUGAACAAAAAGAUUGUUUUAUAAAUGAAAAUGAAUUCAUUUGUAUAGAUUCAUGAACUAUGAAGUAUACUGGUUUACGAAGUAAACAAUGAAAAUGACAUUUAUAUAUAAUUUAAGUAUGGAAGAUGAAGUGUGAACUUGUAUGGUUGUGUGGGCAAAAGAUAUGUUAAGUUAUGCAUGGUUAAGAUUAUAAAUGUUAAGUUGAAGUUAACUGAUGAAAGUAUAUUAUUUUUAUUUAAUACUUGUUGAUUGUGAAAUGCAUACAUAAAAUGCAUGAAUGUGUCUAUAUGUGCCUGUAGAAGGAGUAUGGUGAGAAUGAGUUGCUAGUAUUAUCUAAUAAGAAAAUUAAAUGAUGUGGAUUUAUGGACAAUAGAAUCUAUUUAGAGUAUCGAUUUUAAUAUAUGCACUUGAUGAAGUUUACAUGAUUUUGGCUAAUGGCAUUUAGUAUGACUAUUGUGAUCAGCAUUCUUUUGGACAAAAUUGGUGUAUUUACAUAAUGGAUAUUUAUAAGGUUUAAAUGAUGAAUAAUUUGAUGUGACUUGCUAUAAUAAUGAGUGAUGAGUAUUUUUCAUAAGAAAUAAUGCUGGUGGAAUAAAACAUUAUUUCAAGCCAUUUAUGAGAAGUGAUUUCUAUUUAUGAGCAAUAAUUACUACUUGGUGGAGUAAAGUAUAUUGUNN
RNAcentral lists this long non-coding RNA (1064 nucleotides) under Jatropha curcas. RNAcentral's name for it is "long non-coding RNA (JCUR_LNC001258)". Lineage: Eukaryota; Viridiplantae; Streptophyta; Magnoliopsida; Malpighiales; Euphorbiaceae. The record is from RNAcentral.